RNAcentral lists this long non-coding RNA (1346 nucleotides) under Homo sapiens (human). RNAcentral describes it as "non-protein coding lnc-SLC44A3-1:5". The record is from RNAcentral. Lineage: Eukaryota; Metazoa; Chordata; Mammalia; Primates; Hominidae.
GGCGGGCCGGACCGGGCCGGCGGAGGGGAGCGGAAGCCCACCGGGGCUGGCCCGCCGCUGACCCGCCGCCUCCGUCUGCCUCCUCCCGGGCUCUGGGCCCAGCGCGCCCAGAUGCCGGGCAGGACCCCUCCGCCCGCUGCUGGAACACCAAUAGCAGCGUUGGAGCCUCUGGGCCGGAGGAACUGGGGCCUCCACCGACACCUGCUUCUUCCCUCACCUCGCAGCCUUCCACACCUGUUGAUCUGACCUCUGCCCCGCUGCCGCCCAGGAGUAACCUAAGGCUUUUGGCCUGAUUCGAGCUCACUCCGUCUAAACCUCUAAAUGCGGUGCGAAAAAAUCCUGGGGAAUGUGCCAUGCAAAGCCUGGGCAUUUCAAGUGCUUUUCUGGAUUCGCAUCAACUCCUCUUUACAGGCAUCUUUAUCCGGAAUUCAGCUCGUCCCAAACCCCACGUGGUGUAGCUCUGCUUGUGUUUUUGAAUCCCGGGGCCUCUUUGAAUCAGAAGCCCUUUGUAUAGAGAUAAGUAUCCUUUAGGCCAGAAUCAGCCUCCAUUUUUUUCGCAGUCCCAUUUCCUACCCGUAAUACUUUCUUCUGAUUUUAAAGCCAUUUGAUAGAGAAGGGACAGGGAACAGAACCUUCGCCCCCCGCCUGAGCAGCUGGUAGACUAGAUAUCUUCCAAACAUUAUCUCAUUUACUUCCCUGGAGUUACAAAUAGGUAGAUUUCAUGUCCGUUGAGGGGUGAGAAAGCUGAAACUUUGAGACUUAAGAAUCCUGGCCGAGGUCAGCCUCCUCCGAAGCUUCAUCUCUUGCCACCACUUUCUGGUGCACACCUAGGACAGAUUUCAAUCCCUGAGAUCCCAGGAUGAAACCUAUGUUUGCCAAAUACCAGCUACUGUGCCAGAAGAGAUCAUGGAACCAGGUGUGGAAAGCUGCUUGAGAAGAGGAGCCAAAACAUCAUAGUUGAACCGUCCUGGAAUAGAAACUCGCCCUGAAUUCUUUCUUGUGUGAAAUCCAAGAGCCCUCUCUUGGGGUUGGAUCGGGACCCUGUUCCUGUAACAAGUCCACAAUGCCAGAGAAUUAAAGAGAACCACAAAGUUCCUGUUAUCGUGCUUUGAGGUGCACUGAACUGCAGCAAACCCAGGGGAUCCAAGGCUACGUUGAAAAGCCUUUGACCACAGUGCAGGGAGCAGAAGACAUUAAUGACGUGAUGUCGACACAGCCCGCACUCAGGAUCCUCCAGGAAAAGAACACAGAGAUAACCCCGGAUCGAUGGUACUUUUUGAAAAUGCUUUAUUGCAAAAGAGUGGCUAGGGUUUUACAAGGGCUAUGAAGAAACAUAUUAAGGUUAA